RNAcentral lists this long non-coding RNA (217 nucleotides) under Oryza brachyantha (malo sina). RNAcentral describes it as "long non-coding RNA (OBRA_LNC001720)". The record is from RNAcentral. Lineage: Eukaryota; Viridiplantae; Streptophyta; Magnoliopsida; Poales; Poaceae.
GUCGUGAUGCCUAUAGUCUACAAACACAUUCUUGCCGAUAACACUGCAUAUUUUGAACUGCACAUGCAUUUUCCAGUUGGUUUAUCCCGAGGGUGCAACCUAGUGAACUUCACAUUUUUGAAUUUUAACUGUCCAAUAGUCAUUAGGAAUUUAAUAUUUUAUAUACCCGCUAUAUAUAGGUAGUCACUAUGUGUGUUAUAUAUAAGGCAUGAGCAAU